Molecule: ribosomal RNA, 253 nt
Filed under: uncultured bacterium
Lineage: Bacteria
Description: partial 16S ribosomal RNA
Rfam family: Bacterial small subunit ribosomal RNA
Source: RNAcentral
UACGGCGGGCGCAAGCGUUGUUCGGAAUCACUGGGCGUAAAGCGCGUGUAGGCGGCUUGGUAAGUCGGGUGUGAAAGCCCGGGGCCUAACCCCGGAACUGCACUCGAAACUGCCUCGCUCGAGUCCCGGAGAGGAUGGUGGAAUUCCCGGUGUAGUGGUGAAAUACGGAGAUAUCGGGAGGAACACCGGCGGCGAAGGCGGCCAUCUGGACGGUGACAGACGCUGAGCCGCGAAAGCGUGGGGACCAAACAGG